UUCUCUUAUUGUUGAUAAUGAGGCGAAUAUCAAGCUCAUUCAAAGGAAAUGUUGUAGCUACCUUUUGUGUGUCUCCCUCAUUCUCCAUGAACUGCACCUUGAAAUCCUUCAUGCAAAUGGUGCUCAUAUUAGGGAGCAUUAUAUCUUCAUGAACAAUACAAAGAUCUAUGAAGGCUCAUGUGAAUAUGCAAGGUCCAUUGCCACAAAAUUCAUGGAAGUUGUAGAUCGUCCAAGAAACUACAUUUCUAAUCUUUGAAGUACCAUUGAAGAGUUGAUGUAUUUAUACCUUUGGUGAUUGACUGAUAGACAAUUUUUUUUAUAGAAUGACACAUGAGACCAAUUAGAUGGUGGUCAUAUGGGACUUUAGACACAAAUUAUCACCACCUUCAUAUUGCAAUAGCUCUUAGAAAACCUAUUAUAGUUCAUUCUUCACUAUUUAGAAAACUGUGAGCAAAAAAAAAAUUCAUGUAUAACUAGUGAUUAUUAUGUACUCAUACAACUCUUUGCUAAUGCAUACAAUGUACAUUUGGAGUA
Long non-coding RNA from Cryptomeria japonica (Japanese cedar), 534 nucleotides. RefSeq lists it as uncharacterized. The transcript is spliced from 2 exons. Lineage: Eukaryota; Viridiplantae; Streptophyta; Pinopsida; Cupressales; Cupressaceae. The record is from RefSeq and is a predicted model, not a curated record.